RNAcentral lists this transfer RNA (86 nucleotides) under Caudoviricetes sp. Its description in RNAcentral is "tRNA-Val". It matches the Rfam family "tRNA". Rfam says of the family: Transfer RNA (tRNA) molecules are approximately 80 nucleotides in length. Their secondary structure includes four short double-helical elements and three loops (D, anti-codon, and T loops). Further hydrogen bonds mediate the characteristic L-shaped molecular structure. tRNAs have two regions of fundamental functional importance: the anti-codon, which is responsible for specific mRNA codon recognition, and the 3' end, to which the tRNAs corresponding amino acid is attached (by aminoacyl-tRNA synthetases). tRNAs cope with the degeneracy of the genetic code in two manners: having more than one tRNA (with a specific anti-codon) for a particular amino acid; and 'wobble' base-pairing, i.e. permitting non-standard base-pairing at the 3rd anti-codon position. Lineage: Duplodnaviria; Heunggongvirae; Uroviricota; Caudoviricetes. The record is from RNAcentral.
GGAGAUGUGGCGAAGUGAUAACGCAAAGCGGAUGACACCAUUGGUUAACUCCGCUUCCAUCGUUGGUUCAAAUCCAACCAUCUCUA